UACGGAGGGUGCGAGCGUUUGUCCGGAAUCACUGGGCGUAAAGCGCACGUAGGCGGAUAUGUCAGUCAGGGGUGAAAUCCCGGGGCUUAACCUCGGAACUGCCUUUGAUACAGCAUAUCUUGAGUCCGAUAGAGGUGGGUGGAAUUCCUAGUGUAGAGGUGAAAUUCGUAGAUAUUAGGAAGAACACCGGUGGCGAAGGCAGCACUCUGGGACGGUACUGACGCUGAGACGCGAAAGCGUGGGGAGCAAACAGG
Molecule: ribosomal RNA, 254 nt
Filed under: uncultured bacterium
Lineage: Bacteria
Description: partial 16S ribosomal RNA
Rfam family: Bacterial small subunit ribosomal RNA
Source: RNAcentral